GGUUACCCAGCGGGAUAAUGGUUCACUGCUUACAUUUUUCUUUGAAGAAUGCUUCGAAGAAAAUUUUAUGUACAAUUCUUCGAUACCAGGUAAUGCAUAAAAGUAAGCUAUGCGGAAUAAUGUUUCCCCGCUUACAUUUUUCUUUGAAGAAUACUUCGAAAAAAAUUCUAUCUAGAAUUCUUCGAUACCAGGUAAUGCAUAAAAGUAAGCUAUGCGGCUAAAUUCUACUGUGUUCAUAUUUACAAGUCAAGUAAGUACGUGAAAAACGACAAAUACAAAUUGAUGGAAUAAAAUUUAUAAGUAAAUUUUUUCAUUAUUUCGUCAAAUCAUCAAGCAAAAAGUUGGUUACUAUUUGGUAAGUAUUUCGUGUUUUUAACAUUGAAGGACAUAGCUUCAAAUUUAUAAACAUACUCUUUCAACUUUUUUGUAGAAUGUGUGAAAGUUGAAGGCUUCACCGAAUCGGAGUAUAUUCACCAAAUUCAAAAAGUUAUCAAACUCGCCAAACGCAGUUUCUUCAAGUCUCGUUGCUUGAAAAAAAAAACGGCAAGAGACUCAGCCACAAAAUUAAAAGAAAACCAUAAUGGCUAAAUGAGUAGCGACCAACAUCUCCGCUUUGGCAGCAUCCCGGUUCUUUCCGCAGUUACCCGUCUGUAUAUGUAUAUUUAACAUUUUUAAAACUGUUUUCAACCUUUGAUCAUUUUAUAUAUACAUACAUACAUAUACAUAUAAUAUUUAUUUAACGUUUUUAAACUAUUUAAAUUUGUAAUAAUUCGGUUCAUUUAAACACAUUUUGUUAUAACAAUUUUUAAGUGCAUUUCGCAUAAAAUAAAACCUCUAUAACGAUUGUAUUGAAUCUAGUGCAUUUUUCUUUUUAACAAAAAGUGUGAGUGGCCUAUAAGGUGAGUUUUUGUACACAUAAUACUUAUUUUCAUACGAAUAUGCAAUUUUUCCUAUUAACCUUGGCAUCAAAGAAUUCUUCGUGAACUGUGGCAUCGAAGAAUUCAUCGUUAACUGUGGCAUCGAAGAAUUCUUCGUUUACUUUGGCAUCAAAGAAAUCUUCGUUAACUAUGGCAUCGAAGAAUUCAUCGUUAACUGUGGCAUCAAAGAAUUCCUCGUUUACUUUGGCAUCGAAGAAUUCUUCGUCCCAUGGUAAGCGUAAAAGGUGAUCUGUUACUUUUCGUAGGACAUCGCCGUGUUAAUUUUCAUCGGUCGGGGUAAGCGAUACAAUCAUGCUGUAUCGUUUACCUUGCUCGCUUACCAAUGUCUACCAUAUCCCGCUGGGUAG
Long non-coding RNA from Bactrocera dorsalis (oriental fruit fly), 1285 nucleotides. RefSeq lists it as uncharacterized. The record is from RefSeq and is a predicted model, not a curated record. NCBI's taxonomy places the organism in Eukaryota, Metazoa, Arthropoda, Insecta, Diptera, Tephritidae. The transcript is spliced from 2 exons.